Molecule: ribosomal RNA, 246 nt
Filed under: uncultured Lactobacillus sp.
Lineage: Bacteria; Bacillati; Bacillota; Bacilli; Lactobacillales; Lactobacillaceae
Description: partial 16S ribosomal RNA
Rfam family: Bacterial small subunit ribosomal RNA
Source: RNAcentral
CGUGGGUAACCUGCCCAAGAGAUCGGGAUAACACCUGGAAACAGAUGCUAAUACCGGAUAAUAACAGAUGAUGCCUAUCAACUGUUUAAAAGAUGGUUCUGCUAUCACUUUUGGAUGGACCUGCGGUGCAUUAGCUAGUUGGUAGGGUAACGGCCUACCAAGGCGAUGAUGCAUAGCCGAGUUGAGAGACUGAUCGGCCACAUUGGGACUGAGACACGGCCCAAACUCCUACGGGAGGCAGCAGGC